Molecule: unclassified non-coding RNA, 348 nt
Filed under: soil metagenome
Description: partial contains 5.8S ribosomal RNA, internal transcribed spacer 2, and large subunit ribosomal RNA
Rfam family: 5.8S ribosomal RNA (bases 1-120)
Source: RNAcentral
GAUGAAGAACGUAGCGAAAUGCGAUACGUAAUGUGAAUUGCAGAAUUCAGUGAAUCAUCGAGUCUUUGAACGCACAUUGCGCCCCCUGGUAUUCCGGGGGGCAUGCCUGUCCGAGCGUCAUUGCUGCCUCAAGCACGGCUUGUGUGUUGGGCCUCCGCCCCCCGGCUCCCGGGGGGCGGGCCCGAAAGGCAGCGGCGGCACCGCGUCCGGUCCUCGAGCGUAUGGGGCUUCGUCACCCGCUCCGUAGGCCCGGCCGGCGCCCGCCGGCGACCCCCCUCAAUCUUUCCAGGUUGACCUCGGAUCAGGUAGGGAUACCCGCUGAACUUAAGCAUAUCAAUAAGCGGAGGA